RNAcentral lists this long non-coding RNA (1069 nucleotides) under Gossypium barbadense (sea-island cotton). RNAcentral's name for it is "long non-coding RNA (GBAR_LNC020136)". The record is from RNAcentral. Lineage: Eukaryota; Viridiplantae; Streptophyta; Magnoliopsida; Malvales; Malvaceae.
GUACUUGUUCCCUUCUUCUCUAUCUAAAGGUGUGUUCAAUUUUAGGAUCAAUUGGGAGUAGAUCGAUAAUUCAAUCUAUGUUCAUAAGCACCUGAAAAAUCACAAAAAAUAACUAAGUUAAGAUUACUAGAAAAAUCAACUAAAUUUCAAAGUAAUUAACUUCACAAAUAAUGACUAAAAUAGUCUCCGGCAACGACAUCAAAAACUUGUCGCAGGAUUAUUGAAUGAUGUGUAGGUGUACACAGUCAUCAAAAAGUGAUAUAGUAGUGAGUAAAAAGUAUCGUCUCCAUAGGGACUAUAUGUAAGGCAAAUAUUAUGCAAUUAACAACUAGCAAGUUGGUGAUGGAAAUAAUAAAGAGAGAAUUGAGUUAACUAAUUAACCUAAUUAAAAUUAACUAAGUGUGUACAACAAUUAAAAUGUAACACAGAAUGUAAGUACCAAAUAAUCACAAUGACAUGAAGGGAUAGAAUAACCACAUUCCCCUAACUUAUGACCAUUAAAAACAAUGCUAUGGAAGGUUAUGGUAAAACCCGUGGGAAUUUGGCUGUUUAUUAACCUAGAAUCUUUAAGUUAUGAAGUCUCACUUUUAACUUUUUAGUUUCUUUAGCAUAUAUGUAUGUUUAAAUAACUUCAAGGUUUAUAUGCAAGCAUCAUACCUAUGGGUUAUGCAAGGUAACAAUAUCGCUAAAUACCAUUACUAAUUCAAUUAUUAAGAAAUCAGACAUGCACCAUUCAAAUAGUGUGUCCACUAACUACCAACUUGUUUAGACUAAUAAAUCAAUUUAUAUUUUUCCCAACACUACUUAUGCAUUAGCAAGCAUGAUCAUGAUAUUAUUUGAAUGAAUAAACAACCAAUGCACAAAACUUCAACAACAGAUUAAUAGCACAAGCUAAAGGAUCAUAAUUAAUCUAGAAUCAACAAAAUAAAGUCAUACCGAUUAAAUUAAAGGUAAAAGAAUAAUUUGCAAUCAUGUUUAUCAAUCUAGUAAUAAACUAAAAUAUUAAAGGAAGGAAAAUUGUAAGGCUGAUUCUAGUGGUUCUCCAAGGUAGUACUCAUGUUGCUCCUCC